GAUGAACGCUGGCGGCGUGCUUAACACAUGCAAGUCGAACGGACAGACGUAGACAGAAGUCUCGGCAAGAGAUCACCAGUCAGGGUGGUGAACGGUGGAGUAACGAGUGAUCAACCUGGCUAUGCCAGUGGGAUAGCCUCGGGAUACCGGGAUUAAUACCGCAUCAAAUCGUACAAACACAUGUUUCAGCGGUCAAAGAUUUAUUGGUCAUAGAGGGGCUCGAGUCGGAUUAGCUAGUUGGAGCGGUAACAGCACACCAAGGCGUCGAUCAGUAGCCGGUCAGAGAGGAAGGACCGACACAUUGGAGCUAAGACACGGUACGAACUCCUACGCGAGGCGGCAAUGGGGAAUAGUGCACAAUGGGGGAAACGCUGAUGCAGCGACGCCGCGUGAACGAAGAAAGUAGUCAUAUCGUAAAGUGCAGUCCUAUGGGAAGAUAAUGACAGUACCAAAGAAGAAAGCUCCGGCUAAAUACGUG
This 478-nucleotide ribosomal RNA is filed under the name uncultured bacterium. Its description in RNAcentral is "partial 16S ribosomal RNA". It matches the Rfam family "Bacterial small subunit ribosomal RNA", at positions 28 to 507 of the family's 1533-position model. The record is from RNAcentral.